UACGUAGGGACCGAGCGUUGUCCGGAUUCAUUGGGCGUAAAGAGCUCGUAGGCGGCCACUCAAGUCGAAUGUGAAACCUCGAGGCUCAACCUCGAGCCUGCAUUCGAUACUGGGCGGCUAGAGUCUGGUAGGGGGAUCUGGAAUUCCUGGUGUAGCGAUGGAAUGCGCAGAUAUCAGGAGGAACACCGGUGGCGAAGGCGGGUCUCUGGGCAGUAACUGACGCUGAGGAGCGAAAGCGUGGGGAGCGAACAGG
This 253-nucleotide ribosomal RNA is filed under the name uncultured bacterium. RNAcentral describes it as "partial 16S ribosomal RNA". It matches the Rfam family "Bacterial small subunit ribosomal RNA", at positions 524 to 776 of the family's 1533-position model. The record is from RNAcentral.